ACGAACGCUGGCGGCGUGCCUAAUACAUGCAAGUCGAGCGAAGUUUUUCUGGUGCCUGCACUAGAAAAACUUAGCGGCGAACGGGUGAGUAACACGUAAAGAACCUGCCUCAUAGACUGGGACAACUAUUGGAAACGAUAGCUAAUACCGGAUAACAGCAUUAACUGCAUGGUUGAUGUUUAAAAGUUGGUUUUGCUAACACUAUGAGAUGGCUUUGCGGUGCAUUAGCUAGUUGGUGGGGUAAAGGCCUACCAAGGCGACGAUGCAUAGCCGACCUGAGAGGGUGAUCGGCCACACUGGGACUGAGACACGGCCCAGACUCCUACGGGAGGCAGCAGUAGGGAAUCUUCCGCAAUGGGCGAAAGCCUGACGGAGCAACGCCGCGUGAGUGAAGAAGGAUUUCGGUUCGUAAAGCUCUGUUGUUAGGGAAGAAUGAUUGUGUAGUAACUAUACACAGUAGAGACGGUACCUAACCAGAAAGCCACGGCUAACUACGUG
RNAcentral lists this ribosomal RNA (498 nucleotides) under uncultured bacterium. RNAcentral's name for it is "partial 16S ribosomal RNA". It matches the Rfam family "Bacterial small subunit ribosomal RNA", at positions 29 to 507 of the family's 1533-position model. The record is from RNAcentral.